CGCGCACUGGGCGGGGGUCGCGUCCCAUUAGAUGGUUGGUGUGGUAAUGGCGCACCAAGUCGAUGAUGGGUCUCUGGUCUGAGAGGACGACCAGACAGAUUGGGACUGAGACACGGCCCAAACUCCUACGGGGGGCAGCAGCAAGGAAUUUUCGGCAAUAGGCGCAAGCCUGACCGAGCAACGCCGCGUGGAGGAUGACGGCUCUUGGGUUGUAAACUCCUUUUGGGGGGGACGAUAAUGACGGUACCCUCCGAAUCAGGCCCGGCUAACUACGUGCCAGCAGCCGCGGUAAUACGUAGGGGCCAAGCGUUGUCCGGAAUUACUGGGCGUAAAGCGUGGGUAGGUGGUCGGUGAUGUGCCGCGUGAAAGCGCCGGAGUAAUGCCGGCGAGGUCGCGGUAGACACAUUGACUGGAGGCUCGCAGAGGAACGUGGAAUUCCCGGUGUAGUGGUGAAAUGCGUAGAUAUCGGGAGGAACACCAGUGGCGCAAGCGGCGUUCUGGGCGAGACCUGACACUGAGCCACGACGGCGUGGGGAGCAAACAGGAUUAGAU
RNAcentral lists this ribosomal RNA (552 nucleotides) under uncultured bacterium. RNAcentral's name for it is "bacterial SSU rRNA". It matches the Rfam family "Bacterial small subunit ribosomal RNA", at positions 214 to 783 of the family's 1533-position model. The record is from RNAcentral.